This is a long non-coding RNA of Scylla paramamosain (green mud crab), 10756 nucleotides long. RefSeq lists it as uncharacterized. Lineage: Eukaryota; Metazoa; Arthropoda; Malacostraca; Decapoda; Portunidae. The record is from RefSeq and is a predicted model, not a curated record. The transcript is spliced from 2 exons.
GAGAUGCUCCUGGCCGCGCAGCUCACCGCCAUGUGUUUGGGCGCCUUGCUGGCCCUCUGCGUGGUGGCCUGCUGCGCCUACAAAAUAUGCGGGCCCGCCGAGGAGCUGGAGUGGGGCUCGCAGUACUCGGUACUCAAGAAAUCCCCGCGCCCUCCUCCUGAACUACUUCGGGAACUGUGAGGUCGGCCACGCCCCGCGCCUCCCGCCCCGUCCUCCUCCUUCCUGCUCCCGUCCCCGUCCCCCACCACCACCACCCUCGCCACCACCUCCUUCACCACCCCUGCCUCUACCACCUCCUCUCCUCCAGCUUCCUCUCCUUCGUGGGUCCUGCACGCGGGGCCCACCUCUCCGGAGUGACAGCGGGGCGUGGCAGGGGCGAGGCGGAGAGCGCGGACACCGCCACUCGCCUCCUGUGGCGGAGUGGCAGGCGUGGCCCGUUUCCUUUGACUGAUUAUGACUUUUACUACUACUGCUGUGGCUUCUCUACUGCUAAUGCCUACUACUACUACUACUACUGCUACUACUAUACCAUUUUCACUUUUCUACUCCUACCAUUACUAUUACUACUAUCCAUUACAAUUAAUACUACAACAACGGAUGUCCCACAAGAGAACCCAGAAGAGAAUACGAGUGGAAGAAGCUGCGGCAAAUACCUGCCAAGAUCAAAUUCUACAGCAUGUAUUGAACCUUCAGGUGCUUUAUUUUUUUGGAGGUUCGAGCUGCAUGAACUGAAUGAACCCUGGUGCUUUGAAUCUUUUUGGAACUGAGUGAGACGCUACAGGCUGUGGUGAAGUGUGGGUCGUCGCUCCUGAUGCCAGUCAACGAACACCAAACCCUCGAAAAAGUUCUUGCACUUAAACCCCAAACGAUUCAGACUCCAUUGCGGCAUCAGGAAGUCACGGGUGAGUGAGUGUGUGCGUGUGUCUGUCUGUCUGUGUUCGGAGCAGGACUGGAAGGCUCGAAACGCUGUAUAAAUGAACCACUUGAACGGGAGACGGGAGUGACGUGACUGAAUAAACGAAGAAGAAAAAAAUGGGGAUAGGAUAAAAGCGCAUGGAUUAUAUAAACAGAAGUAGACAGUGAAACAUGAAUGAAAGAAAAUAUAACCAUGGAGUAAAAAAAAAAUAGACAAGAGAAAUGAAAGAGAAAUUGAAAAUGAUGAAGGCAGCGGUAGAGGAAAUAAAGGCAAUAGGAAAAAAAAAACAGCUGAGACUCAAAAUGAAGCAAAAUUAACAAUGAAAUGAAAGAAGGGCCAAGAAAGAUUAGAAGAAGGAAAUGUGAAGAAAAAUAUGGAACCGAGAGGAGAAUGAAGGAAGAUAAGGGAAGAAAAAUAGAAAAGCACACAAAAAUAAGAAGACAGGAGGAGGAGGAGGUGGAGGAGGAAAAGAGGAGGAGGAGGACAGGGAGGCGGAGAUGAGAGGACGGCAGCGGAAUGAGCACUUGUGAGGAACGCUUGGAAAUGGUCUGAGGUGGAGAAAAAUUCAUAAUGGAAUCGUCGAGCCUGGCAUCGCUAAAAAUAGAAAGGAAAAUCAUAUAUAAACCUGUUCAUGAGAGAGAGAGAGAGAGAGAGAGAGAGAGAGAGAGAGAGAGAGAGAGAGAGAGAGAGAGAGAGAGAGAGAGAGAGAGAGAGAGAGAGAGAGAGAGAGAGAGUCACACUAGCCAGCCGUCAAACCAAACUCGAAACUUUCCAAGAAAUCUGCUUCACCUACCGCCCCCCUACCAGAAACUUUGCCCCUCAACUCGCUCUUUCCCCUUAAAAAAAAAAAAGAUAAAUAAAAAAAAGAAAAUAAGGGAAUGAAGCUUCGAAACAAAGGGAAAACUAAACAAAACGGACAAGAGGGAAACUUGACUUGUAUCCCUCCUUUUCCUCACGGCCUCCCUCAAAAAAAAAAAAAAAGUAGAGAAGGAACUUUCAAACGGAAGACAAACUCAAACAAAAGUGAAAGAAAGGAAGGAAGUAAAUAAUAAAAGACCUAACCUUCCUUUACUUCGGCCGGCUAUUUCUCUCUCGGGGCGGCCUAAAAAGCCUGACGGGUGGAGGGAGUGAGAGGAGGAGGAGGAGGAGGAGGGGGAACGGGAAGAGAGGGGAGGGAAAAGAGGAAAAAGGGAAUACACUAUAACCAACAGCACUUUUCUGUUACAUACAAUAUUCCCCCGGCCAGUGAGACAGAGGGGAAGAGGGAACGGUGAAAGAGGAAGAGAGAGAAGAGAGGAAGAGGAAACGAAGGGGCAGGGGGGAAAAAGGAGAGGGUUAGGGAAGGGGAGGGAUAAGCGCCACUGGCCACUCCCUGCCUCAACUUUAAGCGAUAGGGGAAGGGAAGCCGGGGAAGGGGAGGGUAGGGGUGCAGGAAAGGUGGGUGGAGGGAGGAAGGAGGAGAGGAUGGAGGGGAGAGGGGGUGUCGUGCCCGGCUGGUAAUGCUGUAGCUCAGGUGUUUGUUGGAGGAACAGAACCCACAACAAACACUCCCAUCAUGCUCUCUCUCUCUCUCUCUCUCUCUCUCUCUCUCUCUCUCUCUGGAAACAGAAACUCUCAGCACUGUACGUGAAUAACUUUUUACUUUUAGCUUUUUUUUACUGCAUAUUUUUUCCCCAGUUCCCUUUCCUUCUAUUUUUACUCCUCCUCCUCCUCCUCCUCCUCCUCCUCCUCCUCCUCCUCCUCCUCCUCCUCCUCCUCCUCCUCCUCCUCCUCCUCCACCUCCCUCCGAGCUGAUCCGCUUCACCUGCGAUGUGACUCGACAGGGACAAAAAAACAAACAAACAAACAAACAAACAAAGAGAAAGAGAAAGAGAGAAAAAAAGAAAUGAAAGGUACCUGUCUCCUCCAGUUUCUUCCUUUCACGUUACUUAUUCAUUCUCGUUUUGCUUCAUCUUUUUUUUUUUAUACCUCCUGAAACUGGCGAGAGAAAACGUCCACUUUCUCCCUCUCCCUCUCUCUCGCGGUGUUUGCUCCAGGCGGCUUAAUCCUGCUUCAUCCACCACGCAGGACAAAAACUCGCCAAAUAAAUAGAGCAACAUCGCGGAGGAGCAAGGGAAAGGAAGUGAGUCAAGGCGAGGAGACAGACGGCAGCCCACUGGUGGCACGAGACGCUGUAAAAAGGUUUCACUCGGCCGCCAAGAAAAGUCUAAUAACUGUUGAAGAAAAGAGAAGGGAGAGGGGAGAGGGAGACAGGAGGUGUAGGAAAGGAAGGAACAAGGGAGCAGAGAUACCUAGGACCAUUAGAAGGGAAAAUAUGAAAAGAAAUGCACAUAAUUAAGAGUCCCGCGCAAGGAAGGCGUGAGAAACGGAGAGUGGAGUAGAUACAUAUAGGAGAGGGGGAAAAAAAGGAAAAAAAGACACAUGAAAAUACUAUGAAGUGAAUUAUGAGAAAGAAAAGACAGAAUAACGUAAGAAGUCUACAACGAAAGAAAAAGGAAGAAAAGGGAAUGAGAAAGAGAGGAGAGAGGAGAUACAGGAUAUGGAGGAAGAACAGAAGAAAGACACCAAGAAAAAUCAUGAAACAUUAUGAGGUGAAUUAAAGGAAAGGAAAGAGAAAAAAAAAGAAAAAAGAAUGCAAGCUACAAAGUCCACCAGCUUGUGAAGUGCUCGCUGGAAGGGAGAGAGAGAGAGAGAAAGAGAAAGAGAGAAAAAAAAAAACAGAAAAAAAGACAACCUGCAGAAAAAAGGACAAAUGGGAAUACUGAAAAGUGAAUUAGAAGAAAGGGAAAGGAGAAAGAUAAAAGAUAACAAAAAACAAGAUGAAAAGACACAGAAGAAUACUUAAUGAUCAAUUUGAAGAAAGGAAAGGGAGAGAAAAGAUAAAAGAAACGAAAAAAAGCAAACAAACUGAAAAAAAAGAGACAUGGGAAUACUUAAAGGUGAAUUCAGAAGAAAAAAAUAAAUAAAAUGACCAAACGUCCCACCUUGUGAAUUGCUCUCCAGCGUGGGAGCAGCGGCGCCGCCUUGAGGGACGCGAGGCAACCGAACACCGUCGCCUGGACACGCCUCCCUUCCCUCCUGACGCUAAAAAGCCGUGUAGGGCUGCGGAAACCUGGCUAGAGGCUGGCCACUUACUUGGAUAUCUGGCUGUUCUUUGACCGGUUAACUGGCUGUCCAACUGUUUGCUUGGCUGGCUGGCUGUUACGCUGUCUGGCUGGCUAAUGACUUGUCUGUCUCACAAAUUACAAGACAGAGAGGCAACGGUAGAAGGAACAGGACCAACAGCACCACCACCACCACCACCACUACCCACGAGACGAGACAAAGAAGAGGAAGAUUCAAGAGUUGGAGCAUGUCACCUUUCCCUUGAGACGUGGGUGGCGGCUGGGUGUCCGCCCGCCGCGAGAUGGACACGUUGAGAUAUUGGCGAGCUCGAGGAGGGAUGAGUGAGCGUGUUGGAGUGUGUGGCAGCUGGCUGGCCGACCCCCGCCUUUGAAGAGGACCUCGCUGAACACGUCCCCGAGCCAGAACAGACCUACAGGGCGCUGGUGUGUGUGUGUGUGUGUGUGUGUGUGUGUGUGUGUGUGUGUGUGUGUGUGUGUGUGUGUGUGUGUGUGUGUGUGUGUGUGUACCCUGUUGCUGGAUUAAGAGAACUGCAGAGGGUAUAAUUUGGUGCUAGACAAGGCUGGAAGAAUGGGAAUGAGUGCAUGAAGGAAGAGGAGGAGGAGGAGGAGGAGGAGGAGGAGGAGGAGGAGGCGAGUAGUUAUGGAGAUAUUAAGGUUCUUCCGAGUAAUGUGACAGGGAGGAUGUGAAGACAGAUUUUGCUCAUAAAUACAAAUUGUCUUUCUGCUUAUGAGAAAGGGAAGGGGAAGGAGGAGGAGGAGGAAGGAACGGGGGCAAGAGGGAUGGACGGAUGGAAAGAGAGAGCGAAGAGAGAGAAAAGAGGAAUGAAGGAAAUGAAGGGAUAAGAGUGAUAAUAAUGAUGAUGAUAACGAUGAUGAUGAUGACGAUGAAAAGGAGAAGGAUGGCGGUGAGGAGAGGAGAAAUAAAUGAAUGUCAUACGUAAAAGACACUAAAAUCAUCACCAUCAUUAUCAUCAUGAAAUCUAUUACUUCCCUCACUCCUCUCUCCCUCGCUUUCUUCCUCUCUCUCUUCCGUCCCUUCCCUCGUUAUUGCCAAACUUAAAAGCACAAACUUAAAAAGCACAAAAUACACAAAGUUUUCCCUUCCCUUCCCCUUCCUCUUCUCGUUCCUGCCUCCUCUCCCCCUUAGUGUCCGGGAGAGGAGGGAGGGAGAGAGGAAGGGCGGGAGAGAGGUGGGGGCGGGCAGGGCAGCGGCGGGGGACGCGAGCAGCAAUAUCAACAAUAACGCCAACGAGGACAAGUCUAGCACGGUGGCAACUGAGGCUCCGCUCCCGCCGCCCCGACACCGACAGGGGGAGAGAGAACAUUUCCAUUUGCGAGACAUGAAUGUGUGUGUGUGUGUGUGUGUGUGUGUGUGUGUGUGGUGAGGUGGUAAGGAUGCAGGGCUGUGGCGGCGGCGGCUGUAGUGAUGGUCGUCAUGGUGGUGGCAGCGGCGGGGAGACAGGGAUACAGGUGCGGUACGGGGGAGUCAAAAGCACAAUAAACAGUCUAACGCAGGUUCAUUACCCCAUAACGUACAGUGGUCUUUUGUUUGCCGGCAGCAGCAGUAGUAGCAGCAGCAGUGGUCACCUUUAUAGCGCAACUGCCGCCGUCUCUCACUCCCCCAACACUCGGCCCUUAAAAAAAAAAAAAAAAGGAAAAAAAAUAGAAAAAAAAAGCCAGGAACGCGAUCACCUGCAUAGAUUCAGGCCUGCAUUUCCUGAUUCAUCAAUAUUCAUAUGCAAGAUAGAUAUUUUUUUACGCCCAGUCAAAUGCCAUAAAACUAGUAAUUAAUCCAGCACGACAUUAAUUCAAAUGGAAAACCAAUACAUAUAUCGAAAAGUUCAAAUGUCACUCCCGUCGCGGCACAAAUCCUUCCUGGCCGCUACGGAGGUCACUCAGCGCGCAUUGUGUAUGUAAAUUGUAUUCGCGUCCGCCUCUUGACGCGUACACAUGCAUGCCUACAUACAUACAGGUGCACAUAAACGUACAUACAAACAUUUCCCGCCCACGCAUUCCCCAAAAAGAACCGCGAUACACGUUUGAAAUCAACACCAGAUUUUUUUGUUUCUCUCAUUUUUUUUUUUCCUCCCUCCAUUUUUUUCGACCCGCGGCAUAUGAUAGUCCCCCCAAAAAACGCACAAUUUUCCCGGUGGUGUUCGCGUUAAUGAGGCGGAGAGAUAUGCGGCACAAACGACUUAUGUUUUAUUUACGAGCGUUACUCUGUGUUGCUGCUGUUUGGUUAGUGAUUGCUGUGGUUUGAUGCACGUGUUGUGGAUUCCAAUAUUGAAAAAAGAAAAAAAAAACAAGAUAUCUCUCUGUAUGUUAUCGAGCUAAGUGCGUUUUCUUUGUCAUUACCUUCAUUUGUCGUGUGCGUAUUCGAAGUCUAGCCUCUCCUUUUCCUUUUCCUACUCUUCUUUCUUCUUUUUCUUCUCCUCCUCUACUUUUUAACGUGUCAACUUUUUCCCUUUCUAAAACCUUCCAUAAACGCUGUUUUCCCUUGUCUCUUGUCACCUCCUCCUCCUCCUCUUCCUCCUCCUCUUCCUCCUCCUCCUCCUCCUCCUCGUCGUCCUCUUCCAUCACAAUCUUCCCUCACCGCGGAAUAAUCCAGUUAAGAGGCGCAAGAUUCACCUCCGGCCAUUUCGUUAAACUUUCCUUCUUCCUCCCUUCCCUCAUCUCAGCAGCUCUCUCUCUCUCUCUCUCUCUCUCUCUCUCUCUCUCUCUCUCUCUCUCUCUCUCUCUCUCUCUCUCCGUCAUUCCAACCCGCAGCACACUUCAUUAAGUCCUCACACCUCGAGAAGAAAUGUUGAAUCUGUUUUACGUCUUUGCUGGAUUAUUUUCUGCUCCUUCUCCUUAAAAUUCUCAGUUAAUGCAUAGUUCUCUUUCUCUCUCUCUCUCUCUCUCCCUCUCUCAUUGAGGAAAUAUCGGAGAGGCGCUGUGAUUCUAGACGUGAUUAAAGACCUUUUAGUGCGGAUUACUCGUUAAAACAUGGGCGUGAGUAAACUUAAAAGCUAGAACGGAGAAAACGGGAGAGCCGAGGAAGGGGAGAGAGUGAGGCGGCACAAACGCGGAGCUUAAAAGGAAGUGACAUCAUAAAGGUUAACAAAUGUGAUGUAUUUUUCCGCUACCUCCGCUACAAGAGACCCGGGCACGAAAUUCUGUAUUAGAUGCGUAUGAAAUAUUUUCUUUCAUUCUGCUCCCAGCGAUCGUGUUAAUGAGUGGAGUGAAAUCAGAAGGCAUAUGUAUUGUUAGUGAUUGCCUGGUUCUCCAAGCUUCAAAGUAGCGGCGUAUUCUUUGCGAAGGCGUUUGAUUGCUUCGGAACGGUUCAAAUUGGUGUAGGUGAUUUUACAAAGCGCACUUACUCCUAAUCAAUUAUUCUCAAGCGUUUCGGCGUCCUUUCACAAUUAUCAAUAAGCUGUGGUGAAAGUUAUUAGUAUUUUCAAGCGUGUUUUCGUGACGGCAACAACAGUUUGACGAGAAUUCAGCACUACCGAUAGGAAGACAUACGUGAUACCCUACCGGAUCAUCUCCGUGGCCUUUGUGUCCUGCUGAGAGAACAAAGCGUUUUAAUCCCGGCCUUGUACUGUCGAGAGCGGCAGAGAGGAGCAGUUCAUGCCCCUCAAAUACACCGCAGCUCAUAUACAACUCCGGUAUAUGUCAUCUGGACCCUCACCACCAGAACCACCACCACCACCACCACUACUAGCGCCACAGCCGCCACCGCCGCCACGCCACGCCACCUUCCCACCGAGGCACGGAAGACCAGCAAGCGUCCCUGCGUGAUGCCGACCCUUCCAAUCAACCAUAGAGUAAUAAGGCUUCCUGUCGCAGUAGUAACGUCGUCAAUAUGUAGUUGUUGUUAAAUGUAAGUGCGUAGUAAGUUAGAGAAAUACGUUAUUUACUACAGGGCGGAGGGAUGGACUGUUUUAAAGGGCGCGUGGUGUUUCGUAGUACAGACGUAGUACUCAUUUACGAUUUCUUGCGCCAGGCGAAGUAGUUUUCUCGCUAGACAUGGCACGUUUGUUUGGAUUUGAUGAAAGAGUUUUUUGCUGUCCGUGGCAGUGUUUGGGAUGCUUCUCCGCGAGCCACUGAGUUGAUGGGAGGAUGAAGCAAAGGUGUGCGGAACAGUACAUACUGCCCUGUAAAGUAGUGACAAUUCCGCGCGUUUAUAGAAUACAAUAAUGCGCAGCGAAACAAUACAGACAUGUGCAUUUCAGCAGGUGACAUGACAGCGUUCCGUGCACACUACGCAAUGAAGUAACAACAUUCUGCGCAUUAGUAGAAAAAAGGUAAUGCGCAAUAAAGUAAAGCUCUGCGCAUUUCAGUAAUAGGUAGUGGUGCGCAUCUAGUAGUGUUGCUUAAGGAGUGCGCAAUAGACAAUCUACUCAUUUAUAGGAUACAUUAAUGCGCAGAGGCAAUAAGGAUCUGCACAUCAUAGUAAUUGAAAGAAUGCGCAACAAACAAAGUUCCGAAUAAACUGCGCAGCGAAGUAGCGACAUUCUGCGCUUUGACAGAGUACAGUGAUGCGCAAUGAAUUUUUUUAUUUAUUUAUUUAUUUAUUUUUUUUCCCAUUAGAGUAACGGAGGAGUGCAUGGUAAUUAGCGUUCUGCACACAUACAAACAGUAUCUCGAUGUGCUGAGGCGCGGUUAAAUCUUGUUAUGGACGCCGGGAAUGCUACGUUUGUGUGUGAACGGGUUUGUGAACUCCGGACAAGACCUGCUCAUUGGCGGGCUUCUCGAACCACCAACGCCUCGUGAAUCAAAGCGCAGGGCGGGUGGGCGUCCCUCAUUGUGUGUGUGUGUGCGUGUGUGUGAGUGUGUGUGUGUAUUGUAGUGUCGUGAUUUGGAGUGCUGCCAGCUGUUCGUGUUCAUCUUUUUGUUGGUGGUCGUGGUGUUAUGCCUUUCGUUCCGUUCAAUUUUUCUCCAUCGUGUUAAUUUUCACUUUUCUCAUUUUGUUUUUCAUGCGGUUGAUUACUUCUGUUUUUGUCUUAAUUCCAUUCCCUUUGCAUUAUACACUUUCUAAUAUCUCAUUUUCCAAGUUCAGUUACGCCCGCGUUGAUGAAUAACACUGAGCCCAACACUGAUCAUCCCACUGCUUCGUUCACUUAAGGUGUUACUGUUAUCGUUACCACUAUUAUUAUUUCCGUCACGCCUUUUCGAUUACGUUACUUGUUUUCUGUGUCAUAUCAACUCCUUCUGAAUACUACGGUAGCUUAAUCUUCUGUUCCUUUCCAAGCCUGCAGCUGGUAUGCAUUCAUGUUCGCUGAGUCACCGUCAAAGGUGUUCAAUGUUUCUCCACGUCGCUGCUUCAUACUCCCUCUCGUUCACGUGUCCGAAACGUCUCUGUGUUGGUGUUUCACUCCUCAACUUUCCAUUCCUACCUAUGUUCACCUCUCGUGUUUGCUCCACUUCGCUGUUUCUUGAAGUUAUAAAGUAUUAAUCAUAAGUACGAACAGUAUAAUAGGUAAGGUUUAGUAAUACUAUGUACAUGCUUCCUUCUCUGUGUUCCGUGCUUCGUGUGGGCAGUGAGCAGCUCGACUCCUGGUGGUGCGGGUGACAAUGCACAACGACCGCCCCUCCACACUUCAACACACGCUUCAACACACGAAUGGCAUCACAACACAAACAUCACAACAUAAAAAAAAGAUGAGCUACAAGAAACCAGCUUAUCUACACGUGGGAUUCUCUACAUAAAACAUGCAUGCUUUACCUGUAUCUGCCUAUCAUUCCUAUCCAUAAAUGCAUAAAUUCAUCUAAUCUUGAAGUUCCCUAUUGAUUCUGCACCAACAACCCGUCAUCUACCGCUGUAAUUUGAACAUAAUUUUCCUAUUGUCUCUCUCUCUCUUUUUAUCAAUUUAACUUUACUAAGCUUCAAGUCGAUUAAUUAACGCUAAGGAAUUUGUUACAUCCCACUUAUAUACCUCUGUCAGAUCCUCUCAAUCUACUCCUGUCUGACAAAUGCAAAUUUAAAAGUAUCACUCUCUCUUAUAUCUCAUGAGAAGCAAAAAUUAGUCACUCAUCGGAACCUUUAAAACUGAAACAACAUCUUGUCACAUCGCCAUGCCACUCAUUUCCUUUCCACACACACACACACACACACACCGCACCCACCUCACUGCGCCGCCACCGCCACACGUAUGUACGUACGCCACCAGCACGGUCGUGACACCUGGAUCUAGCAGCACCCUUGUUUCUCUCCUCAUCGAGCACCUCUUUGCCUUCAUCACGCCUGUAGGGCAAUAAGCCGUAGAUCGUCCCUCCCACCCUCUGGAUAAUAGGUACCCUCGACAUUCCCCUGUUUUACGUAUAUACACACACACACAUAAUUAUGUAUACUCGUCAGGACACUGCUCUCAGUUAACACUUCAUACACAUACCUUGAUAUAUAUAAACGUUUUCUUAUUAAGGGAAUCCAGUACUGCUUAUUUCCGGACACACACACACACACACACACACACACAUACAUCAGUACAUCAGUCACUAUUUACCUUAAUUAUAAAAUAAAGACAUGCAUAAUAAUAAGAACACAUUCCCUUUUUAGCUUCCUAGAACAACACAUGCAUAAUACAUGUAUUAGGCGAUUAAUUGAUUAAUUAAUUCAUUUUAUCAAUUUAUUUGUGCUCCAUAUAACAAAAUACUAAUGACAGCAUAUUUGUUUUAUUAAAUGACACACAUACACACACACACACACACACACACACACACACACACACACACA